Long non-coding RNA from Mauremys reevesii (Reeves's turtle), 1435 nucleotides. RefSeq lists it as uncharacterized. Lineage: Eukaryota; Metazoa; Chordata; Testudines; Geoemydidae. The record is from RefSeq and is a predicted model, not a curated record. The transcript is spliced from 3 exons.
UCCUAGGGCAAGGCCUUUUGGGUAGCUGCAGGGGCCAAGCCUCCAAGGAGUGUAUGCUGCUAUGGAGCCUCAGGGGACUCUGCAUCAGGCUUAGACUGCUAGGAAGUGGCCUCAGGAGCCAGAUCCUCUGGGGAGAAAGUACUGGGAGGAGUUGCUCUGCCAAAAGAGCCUGGAGGCAGAUGAAGGGAGAGUUGUGUUCUGGUGCUCUGACUACUGCUUCUUAAUGGGCUGGAUUUAAAAACUCCUUGAGUCACUAUACAAGUGAAUAUUUUGAUGGUGACAGCACUGUGGCAAUGUUGAUCGAACCUGGCCUGAGUAUUCAAGAAACGUGCACACAAAUCUUAUUAGCGAUGCACCCAUUGGAUCAAAGCCAGCCUGCCUUCCCCACACAAACAUGAACUUUUUGGAGCCAUUCAGAGUCAGAGCAGAACUUUGUGCUUCAAGCCUCUCUGAGGAGCUGAACUGGAACACCAAAUCCAAAUCUACGUGAGCACUGGAGGCAUUUGAAUUUGUAUUGCCGUCUAGAUUCAAACUUCUCAGCUUAGGCCUGUCUGACUAGUAGAAGCCUGAUCUAAAUUAAGGGCCAGAUUCUAAUACCUUUUGAAUUGUAGAGUGGGUUGUACUUUAGUAGUCCUACUGUCUUCACUGAGAAUACUCAGUGUGGCAGAGUACUAAUCAAUGUAAAAGUAAGGAUCGCAAAACCUAGCCCCAGAGACAGUGAAUGUGCUGGACAGAUAUUCCAAAUGUAGAGCACUGGGGUAGAGGUGGUUAUGGGGGAAAUGGUUUGGUAUCUUUUUUUUUUCUUCAUGUAAAAUAUUUGACUUCCUGAGGGCUGGGGAAGUUUGUCAAAAGAUUUUGAUCAAAACCUGAAAUAUUUUGACUUGGAAAUGCUGCUGUAGUGCUUUAUGGGAGUUGUAGUUCAGGUGCCUCAUAUUCCCAUUCUCCUCUAUAAGCUUGGCUCACUGGUCAUACUACAUCUCCCAUGAUGCACCACAAUUUCCCCCUUCAUGAGGUAGUUGAAUCACGUGUGUCAGGCUGUGGUGCAUCAUGGGAGAUGUAGCCUGGCAGGGAAAUCUGACACGUGGAUGAGAAUGGCACCAUGAGGCAACCAAACUACACUUCUCAGGAGGCAAUGCAGUGGCACAGUCCAAAUGAGAUACUUUGAUUUUUGGCUGAAAUACUUCAGUCUUUUUUGGUGGAAAACCACUUCUACAGGCUUUGGGCACUUUAUCUUUCAAUAAAAUUGAAACUUUCUGCAGACAGCAGGUGCUUCAUAUAACCAAUUUUAUUUAGUCAAACUAAUCUUCCAGCAGAACUGGGUUGGCAGAAUACUGUCAACCCACCACCCUAACUGGGGUUUAACUGAGCAGUCAGUCUGCAGUCAUGGGUCACUCAAGCUGGAGUCUGAUUUUGGAUAGACUGUUUUGAGGGGAGA